CGAUGAGUGCUAGGUGUUGGGGGGUUCCACCCUCAGUGCUGAAGUUAACACAUUAAGCACUCCGCCUGGGGAGUACGACCGCAAGGUUGAAACUCAAAGGAAUUGACGGGGGCCCGCACAAGCAGUGGAGCAUGUGGUUUAAUUCGAAGCAACGCGAAGAACCUUACCAGGUCUUGACAUCCUCUGACAAUCCUGGAGACAGGACGUUCCCCUUCGGGGGACAGAGUGACAGGUAGUGCAUGGUUGUCGUCAGCUCGUGUCGUGAGAUGUUGGGUUAAGUCCCGCAACGAGCGCAACCCUUGAUCUUAGUUGCCAGCAUUUAGUUGGGCACUCUAAGGUGACUGCCGGUGACAAACCGGAGGAAGGUGGGGAUGACGUCAAAUCAUCAUGCCCCUUAUGACCUGGGCUACACACGUGCUACAAUGGACGGUACAAAGGGCAGCAACACCGCGAGGUGAAGCGAAUCCCAUAGAGCCGUUCUCAGUUCGGAUUGCAGGCUGCAACUCGCCUGCAUGAAGCCGGAAUUGCUAGUAAUCGCGGAUCAGCAUGCCGCGGUGAAUACGUUCCCGGGCCUUGUACACACCGCCCGUCACACCACGAGAGUUUGUAACACCCGAAGUCGGUGGGGUAACCUUUAUGGAGCCAGCCGCCGAAGGUGGGACAAAUGAUUGGGGUGAAGUCGUAACAAGGUAGCCGU
RNAcentral lists this ribosomal RNA (697 nucleotides) under Bacillus baekryungensis. Its description in RNAcentral is "bacterial SSU rRNA". It matches the Rfam family "Bacterial small subunit ribosomal RNA", at positions 807 to 1503 of the family's 1533-position model. The record is from RNAcentral. Lineage: Bacteria; Bacillati; Bacillota; Bacilli; Caryophanales; Bacillaceae.